UUGUGGAGGAGGACGCCGAAGGUGGGGCUAAUGACUGGGGUGAAGUCGUAACAAGGUAGCCGUACCGGAAGGUGCGGCUGGAUCACCUCCUAACAGGGAGACAACAAAAUGUUUAAUAUUAUUAUUUUGUCACCUUAGGUCGAUCGGUAUCUCACGUUUUUAAUUUAUUAAAAAUUUCAUUUCCUAAGUUUUUCUAGGUCACACCCAUUAUUUUUCCUGGGCCAUUAGCUCAGGUGGUUAGAGCGCACCCCUGAUAAGGGUGAGGUCCCUGGUUCAAGUCCAGGAUGGCCCAUAUCUCUAUGUUGGGGGUAUAGCUCAGUUGGUAGAGCGCCUGCUUUGCAAGCAGGAUGUCAGCGGUUCGAGUCCGCUUACCUCCACUGAUUACCACCUCUUCCAUAACCGGUAGAAAGGAAAUGUUUUGAGUUGUGAUCAAAUUCUGAAAGAAUCUAGCUUCCUAAUGAAACCAUUAAGAUGCUGGAUUCAUUGAAUUAAAUUUCAUUGUUUUCAGAGAACCUUGACAACUGCAUAGAUUAUUUUUAAAGACAAUAAGCAUCUUUAAUGAUGCAGAUUUAUUAUUUGUGCGAAUGCAUUAAUAACAAUUCUAUUAAGCUGAUGCUUCAAAUUUGAAGUUAUUGGUCAAGCUACAA
This 647-nucleotide unclassified non-coding RNA is filed under the name uncultured Prochlorococcus sp. RNAcentral describes it as "partial 16S-23S ribosomal RNA intergenic spacer; may also contain 16S ribosomal RNA and 23S ribosomal RNA". The stretch from base 305 to 377 matches the Rfam family "tRNA". Lineage: Bacteria; Bacillati; Cyanobacteriota; Cyanophyceae; Synechococcales; Prochlorococcaceae. The record is from RNAcentral.